CUUAAGUGGGGGAUAGCCCGAGGAAACUCGGAUUAAUACCGCAUGUGAUCUUCGGAUCAAAGGUGGCUUCGGCUGCCGCUUAAGGAUGGGCUCGCGGCCUAUCAGCUUGUUGGUGAGGUAACGGCUCACCAAGGCGACGACGGGUAGCUGGUCUGAGAGGACGAUCAGCCACACUGGAACUGAGACACGGUCCAGACACCUACGGGUGGCAGCAGUCGAGAAUCAUUCACAAUGGACGAAAGUCUGAUGGUGCAACGCCGCGUGGAGGAUGAAGGCCCUAGGGUCGUAAACUCCUGUCAUCAGGGAGUAAGCCUUGGUCGUUAAUAGCUUCCAAGGUUGAUAGUACCUGAAGAGGAAGGGACGGCUAACUUCGUGCCAGCAGCCGCGGUAAUACGAAGGUCCCAAGCGUUGUUCGGAAUCACUGGGCGUAAAGAGUAUGUAGGCGGCAAGGUAAGUCAGAUGUGAAAGCCCGGGGCUCAACCUUGGAACUGCAUCCGAUACUGCUUUGCUUGAGUAAUGGAGGGGUGACUGGAAUUCUCGGUGUAGCAGUGAAAUGCGUAGAUAUCGAGAGGAACACUCGUGGCGAAGGCGAGUCACUGGACAUUUACUGACCUGAGAUACGAAGGCCAGGGUAGCGAAAGGGAUUAGAUACCCCUGUAGU
Molecule: ribosomal RNA, 661 nt
Filed under: uncultured Verrucomicrobiota bacterium
Lineage: Bacteria; Pseudomonadati; Verrucomicrobiota
Description: bacterial SSU rRNA
Rfam family: Bacterial small subunit ribosomal RNA
Source: RNAcentral